Peromyscus eremicus (cactus mouse) is the source of this 939-nucleotide long non-coding RNA. RefSeq lists it as uncharacterized. Lineage: Eukaryota; Metazoa; Chordata; Mammalia; Rodentia; Cricetidae. The transcript has 2 exons. The record is from RefSeq and is a predicted model, not a curated record.
ACUUAGCUGGGGGGGUGGUGGUGGUGGUAAUAGACAUUAAUUACAUUUUGGUUGGAUGAAUGAGGAAUGCAGGAUUGCAUUAGUCACGAUAGAUCUGCUUGAUUUGCUCACAAGUGCCCAUUGAGAUAGCACUUCAUGUUGGAGUAUUAUCUCCUUGCAACCUUGUUUUUGUUUUUGUUUAUUUUGGCAGUCGAACCCAGAGUCGUGCACGAGCUAAGUACACGCCCUGCCCUUCAGCCACAUCUACAGUCCUUCACUUUGCCACUUUCUCCAGCAGCAUCUUCUUUCAUCCCGUGAGAUGAUCAGGAUUCCAAGCAUCUCCCCUCCAGCUCUGUGGAGGCAAGGCUCCCCAGCAGACUCGAUUUAUUUUGGGCUGUACUUUCCUGAAACUGAGUCUUAGGAUGUGAUUCUCAUCCUGCUGGUAUCCUGCCACAUUGCCGUGUGACUUCAGCUCUUCCAGGGAAGACUCGGGGUCCAGAGGAUCUCAACCUCUCUGUAUAGCGCAGACAGAGAUGACCAACUUACAGCUGGAAAUGUGUCCCAGAGGAAAGCCUGCGCGACCUAGUCACCAAAACUAUGCACAACAGCAGAAGCAAAGCUUGUCAAUUUUAUCAAUUAUGUGUGCCAAGGACUGACGUGGCUCAGAGUUUCCAAAGUCUGAGUGAUUUGUGACCAUUAGCAACACAGACACUGGAAGAUUCAAGCGGCCAGUCAGUGCUGGGAAUUUUCUCAUUUCAGGAAAUUUUGGCGGUGAGGCAUGCUAGAACCUCAGCAACUGGAGUGUUGGGAGGAGGAAAGUCAAACAGGCAGGAAGGGAGUGUGGGAAAAGACAGGAAGAUGACAUGCCGCAUGAGCUUUCAGGAUGGACAGCUCUAUGUGGAGUCCCUCCUCCCCAGGCUCAGUUUCCUCACUGACAAAUAGAGAUGAUGAGAAUUGUUA